GGACUACUGGGGUAUCUAAUCCGUUUUGCUCCCCACGCUUUCAUGCCUCAAUGUCAGUAACAGAAUAGUUAACUGCCUUCGCCAAUUGAUGUUCUUUUAUAUAUCUACGCAUUUUACCGCUCCACAUAAAGUUCCGUUAACCUCUUCUGCACUCAAGCUCGACAGUAUUACUGACUUCCACGAGGUUGGGCCCCGAUUUCCCACCAGUAACUUACCGAACCAUCUACGCAUCCUUUACGCCCAAUAAUUCCGGAUAACGUUCGCGACCUAUGUCUUACCGCGGCGGCUGGCAC
RNAcentral lists this ribosomal RNA (293 nucleotides) under uncultured bacterium. RNAcentral's name for it is "partial 16S ribosomal RNA". The record is from RNAcentral.